Molecule: long non-coding RNA, 712 nt
Organism: Dicentrarchus labrax (European seabass)
Lineage: Eukaryota; Metazoa; Chordata; Actinopteri; Moronidae
Exons: 3
Source: RefSeq, a predicted model, not a curated record
CAGGGAGCGAUCAUCAAAGAGAAUGUCAACACACAGACCGGGCCGAUAAGGGUAAUUCAUAAGCAACGCUUUCCGUAAACUAGAACAGUGUAAUCCAGCCCGACAUAAUCUGACCCACAACACAUACUUCUUGUGCAGAGCAAAUGCAGCUGAUCCCAUGACGAAGCCAGAGGCAAUGCAUGAUAGAGGAGGUGUGAAACUGCUGAUGAGAUGUAUGAACUGAAGCGGUGAUUCAUCCGCUCUCCUUUAACCCUGAACCAUGAAGAGCUCCUGUGCUCUGAAGUCUGCCAGCUGUUCGUCCCCGCGGCUCUAACGAACGUACAGAAUCAUUACAGCUUGUCUCGUCUUGCAGUAAAUAAAGAAAAAUAAUCCUCCAUCCAUAACCCCUGGUUAGGUCGGCCAACAGAUUUUUUGAAAUGAGAAAAACGUAAUUGGGAAAUGACUGACCUGUUUUCUCGUUUUGAAGAUAAAAAAACCCCAGAAAUUAAAGCAAUUUGUGACUUUAAGCAGUGCUGUCUUUGUGCUAUGAUGUCAGGAUUGUGAAAUGCCCGUUUUCCUUCGUUUUUUAUUUUCAAAACAAAAAAAACUGAAACCAGAUCGUUCUUUCAUAUUGAAAAUAAACAGAAAACGAAAGAAAACAUUGAAAAUGAAAAACAAAAAAAGGCCUGUUGUUUGUUCCCUAUAUGUAUAAAUGUAGUCAGGAAACAGCUUA